GGGCAGGCUCGGCGCGGCGGAAGACUCUCAACCCCGCCAGGUCCGAAAGGAAGCAACGGUACGGAACUCUCUCCGGGCGCCGCCGAUCUCCUGCCCGGA
RNAcentral lists this signal recognition particle RNA (99 nucleotides) under Anaerolinea sp. 4484_236. Its description in RNAcentral is "signal recognition particle sRNA small type". It matches the Rfam family "Bacterial small signal recognition particle RNA". From Rfam's summary of the family: The signal recognition particle (SRP) is a universally conserved ribonucleoprotein involved in the co-translational targeting of proteins to membranes. Archaeal SRP consists of a 7S RNA and homologues of the eukaryotic SRP19 and SRP54 proteins. Lineage: Bacteria; Bacillati; Chloroflexota; Anaerolineae; Anaerolineales; Anaerolineaceae. The record is from RNAcentral.